CAAUAGCUCAAAUUUGAAAUCUGGCGUCUUCGACGUCCGAGUUGUAAUUUGUAGAGGAUGCUUCUGAGUAACCACCGACCUAAGUUCCUUGGAACAGGACGUCAUAGAGGGUGAGAAUCCCGUAUGCGGUCGGAAAGGUGCUCUAUACGUAGCUCCUUCGACGAGUCGAGUUGUUUGGGAAUGCAGCUCUAAAUGGGAGGUAAAUUUCUUCUAAAGCUAAAUAUUGGCCAGAGACCGAUAGCGCACAAGUAGAGUGAUCGAAAGAUGAAAAGCACUUUGGAAAGAGAGUUAAAAAGCACGUGAAAUUGUUAAAAGGGAAGGGAUUGCAACCAGACUUGCUCGCGGUGUUCCGCCGGUCUUCUGACCGGUCUACUCGCCGCGUUGCAGGCCAGCAUCGUCUGGUGCCGCUGGAUAAGACUUGAGGAAUGUAGCUCCCUCGGGAGUGUUAUAGCCUCUUGUGAUGCAGCGAGCGCCGGGCGAGGUCCGCGCUUCGGCUAGGAUGCUGGCGUAAUGGUCGUAAUCCGCCCGUCUUGAAACACGGACCAAGGAGUCUAACAUCUAUGCGAGUGUUCGGGUGUCAAACCCCUACGCGUAAUGAAAGUGAACGGAGGUGAGAACCGCAAGGUGCAUCAUCGACCGAUCCUGAUGUCUUCGGAUGGAUUUGAGUAAGAGCAUAGCUGUUGGGACCCGAAAGAUGGUGAACUAUGCCUGAAUAGGGUGAAGCCAGAGGAAACUCUGGUGGAGGCUCGCAGCGGUUCUGACGUGCAAA
RNAcentral lists this ribosomal RNA (769 nucleotides) under Cladosporium cladosporioides. Its description in RNAcentral is "LSU rRNA". It matches the Rfam family "Eukaryotic large subunit ribosomal RNA", at positions 102 to 897 of the family's 3401-position model. Lineage: Eukaryota; Fungi; Ascomycota; Dothideomycetes; Cladosporiales; Cladosporiaceae. The record is from RNAcentral.